Molecule: ribosomal RNA, 305 nt
Filed under: uncultured bacterium
Lineage: Bacteria
Description: bacterial SSU rRNA
Rfam family: Bacterial small subunit ribosomal RNA
Source: RNAcentral
UGCCUACGGGGCGCAGCAGUGGGGAAUAUUGCACAAUGGGGGAAACCCUGAUGCAGCGACGCCGCGUGAGUGAAGAAGUAUUUCGGUAUGUAAAGCUCUAUCAGCAGGGAAGAUAAUGACGGUACCUGAGUAAGAAGCCCCGGCUAACUACGUGCCAGCAGCCGCGGUAAUACGUAGGGGGCAAGCGUUAUCCGGAUUUACUGGGUGUAAAGGGAGCGUAGACGGUUACGCAAGUCUGGAGUGAAAGGCGGGGGCCCAACCCCCGGACUGCUUUGGAAACUGUAUAACUGGAGUGCAGGAGGGGG